Molecule: ribosomal RNA, 425 nt
Filed under: uncultured prokaryote
Description: bacterial SSU rRNA
Rfam family: Bacterial small subunit ribosomal RNA
Source: RNAcentral
UGAGGAAUUUUGCGCAAUGGGGGAAACCCUGACGCAGCAACGCCGCGUGGGCGAUGAAGGCCUUCGGGUCGUAAAGCCCUGUCGGGCGGGAAGAACGCUCUUGGUCGAAGGACUGGGGGGUGACGGUACCGCCAGAGGAAGCACCGGCUAACUCCGUGCCAGCAGCCGCGGUAAUACGGAGGGUGCAAGCGUUAUUCGGAAUUACUGGGUUUAAAGGGAGCGUAGGCGGGUUGUUAAGUCAGUUGUGAAAGUUUGCGGCUCAACCGUAAAAUUGCAGUUGAUACUGGCGACCUUGAGUGCAACAGAGGUAGGCGGAAUUCGUGGUGUAGCGGUGAAAUGCUUAGAUAUCACGAAGAACUCCGAUUGCGAAGGCAGCUUACUGGAUUGUAACUGACGCUGAUGCUCGAAAGUGUGGGUAUCAAACA